GACGUAGGAUGCAAGCGUUGUCCGGAAUUAUUGGGCGUAAAGAGCGCGUAGGCGGUCCGAUAAGUCGGCUGUGAAAGUCAGGGGCUCAACCCUUGAAAGCCGGCCGAUACUGUCGGACUAGAGUCCGGAAGAGGCAAGUGGAAUUCCCGGUGUAGCGGUGAAAUUCGUAGAUAUCGGGAGGAACACCGGUGGCGAAGGCGGCGACCUGGGUAGAUACUGACGCUGAGGUGCGAAAGCGUGGGGAGCAAACAGG
RNAcentral lists this ribosomal RNA (253 nucleotides) under uncultured bacterium. Its description in RNAcentral is "partial 16S ribosomal RNA". It matches the Rfam family "Bacterial small subunit ribosomal RNA", at positions 524 to 776 of the family's 1533-position model. The record is from RNAcentral.